GGGGCCCUGCUGGGCCCACCAACCCACAGGGCAAACAUUCCACUUGCACAGAGGGAAGGGGGUGGCCCAGCCCCCUCUCAGGCUCCCCCUCUCCCCCUCCCGCUGUGGGGCACUGAGGGCGGGAGAGCGUGGAGGAGCUCCGAGAGGCAGAUCGGGAAGCACCACCCCAGAGGUCCAGGUAAAACUGCAAAGAACAGCUUUCGGACGAGCCCCCUGCUUCCCCAUUCACACGCACUUCUACCAGACAAACCAGCGCCACCUGAGCCCCAACUAGAUGAAAACUGGGGACACCACUGGCCAAGAUCUGGCAUGGAGACAGACGGACAUUCAGAAGAAAACUCCUGAACACAGAGAAGGACUCACUAUCACAGACAUACGGCUUGUCUCGGUCCUCCAGGGAAGCGGUGUCCUGGCGUUUCCGGAGACCCCCGAUGCCAUAUGCCUGGGGGGAAGAGUCAGGAUCAGGGGCCAAGAAAGGGAGGGAACUGAAAGGGCUUUCAUCAUCUGAGCCCGAAAGGUGAACCGCAGCUCUGCCACUUCCUAACUAUGGGCCCCGACCUCUCUGACGUUCGGUUUCCUCAUCUGUAGUGUGAGCAUAAAGAUGGCUGUAACCCAC
Leptonychotes weddellii (Weddell seal) is the source of this 616-nucleotide long non-coding RNA. RefSeq lists it as uncharacterized. Lineage: Eukaryota; Metazoa; Chordata; Mammalia; Carnivora; Phocidae. The record is from RefSeq and is a predicted model, not a curated record.